UUUGAUCCUGGCUCAGAACGAACGCUGGCGGCAUGCCUAAUACAUGCAAGUCGAACGAGACCUUCGGGUCUAGUGGCGCACGGGUGCGUAACGCGUGGGAAUCUGCCCUUGGGUUCGGAAUAACUUCGGGAAACUGAAGCUAAUACCGGAUGAUGACGAAAGUCCAAAGAUUUAUCGCCCAGGGAUGAGCCCGCGUAGGAUUAGCUAGUUGGUGGGGUAAAGGCUCACCAAGGCAACGAUCCUUAGCUGGUCUGAGAGGAUGAUCAGCCACACUGGGACUGAGACACGGCCCAGACUCCUACGGGAGGCAGCAGUAGGGAAUAUUGGACAAUGGGCGAAAGCCUGAUCCAGCAAUGCCGCGUGAGUGAUGAAGGCCUUAGGGUUGUAAAGCUCUUUUACCCGAGAUGAUAAUGACAGUAUCGGGAGAAUAAGCUCCGGCUAACUCCGUGCCAGCAGCCGCGGUAAUACGGAGGGAGCUAGCGUUGUUCGGAAUUACUGGGCGUAAAGCGCACGUCGGCGGCGAUUUAAGUCAGAGGUGAAAGCCCGGGGCUCAACCCCGGAACUGCCUUUGAGACUGGAUUGCUAGAAUCUUGGAGAGGCGAGUGGAAUUCCGAGUGUAGAGGUGAAAUUCGUAGAUAUUCGGAAGAACACCAGUGGCGAAGGC
RNAcentral lists this ribosomal RNA (664 nucleotides) under alpha proteobacterium GWS-SE-H151. Its description in RNAcentral is "bacterial SSU rRNA". It matches the Rfam family "Bacterial small subunit ribosomal RNA", at positions 12 to 722 of the family's 1533-position model. Lineage: Bacteria; Pseudomonadati; Pseudomonadota; Alphaproteobacteria. The record is from RNAcentral.